CAGAAACAAAUCUGAAGUUCCAUGAUCUGGUAUUUCCUGUUUCAUUUUAUUAUGAGUAACUUUUAUAUUGUUUCUAAAGUAUAUUCUAUCCAUUUAUCUGUCGCUCUCUGGUAAUGAGAGGUUCACAAUUGGAGAAAUGGGCUCAUCUAACCACUGUGGUUUAGUGAAAUGUAAGAUGUAUCUAACUUUAUUUGGGGGGCUGAGGGUCUGGUAAAAGGUCUUGUAGAUGUGGAUAACACCUCCACACAAGAAGGCUGACUUUAUCCUGAGUAUGGAUCCAAGGACUGAUCACUGCCUGAAGCAUACAUCCAACACCAGUGACCAGGAGUGGAACUUAAAUCUUACCCUUAAGGACCCAAGUCCUCAUCUCUCUGGAAGAGAGAAACCUGCUAUCCUUCACUAAUUGCCAAGCUGUGGUCCUGGUACACUCAGGACCAUGAGCGGGAUCUUAAUGAGGAACCCAAGUGUGCCUGUGUGAGUGGAGAAGUGUGCAGCUGCACUACUUGGUGAACCCCCCUUCAUCUUAAGCAGCCUAUGACUGAAAGAGCAAGGAGGAGCAAGUGUCUGCCUCUUACCAUUUCUUUGUGGACAUUGAGAGGGUGAGAUGAUGGCUGGUGUGUGUUGAGG
RNAcentral lists this long non-coding RNA (627 nucleotides) under Scleropages formosus (Asian bonytongue). Its description in RNAcentral is "lncRNA (ENSSFOG00015025562.1)". Lineage: Eukaryota; Metazoa; Chordata; Actinopteri; Osteoglossiformes; Osteoglossidae. The record is from RNAcentral.